CAGUCGCCGCGGGAAUACGUAGGGUGCAAGCGUUGUCCGGAAUUAUUGGGCGUAAAGAGCUCGUAGGCGGUUUGUCGCGUCUGCUGUGAAAUCCCGAGGCUCAACCUCGGGCUUGCAGUGGGUACGGGCAGACUAGAGUGCGGUAGGGGAGAUUGGAAUUCCUGGUGUAGCGGUGGAAUGCGCAGAUAUCAGGAGGAACACCGAUGGCGAAGGCAGAUCUCUGGGCCGUAACUGACGCUGAGGAGCGAAAGCGUGGGGAGCGAACAGGAUUAGAUACCCCGGUAGUCCCUGUCUCUUAUAC
RNAcentral lists this ribosomal RNA (301 nucleotides) under uncultured bacterium. Its description in RNAcentral is "partial 16S ribosomal RNA". It matches the Rfam family "Bacterial small subunit ribosomal RNA", at positions 509 to 807 of the family's 1533-position model. The record is from RNAcentral.